Molecule: ribosomal RNA, 301 nt
Filed under: uncultured bacterium
Lineage: Bacteria
Description: partial 16S ribosomal RNA
Rfam family: Bacterial small subunit ribosomal RNA
Source: RNAcentral
CAGUCGCCGCGGUAAUACAGAGGGUGCGAGCGUUAAUCGGAUUUACUGGGCGUAAAGCGUGCGUAGGCGGCUUCUUAAGUCGGAUGUGAAAUCCCUGAGCUUAACUUAGGAAUUGCAUUCGAUACUGGGAAGCUAGAGUAUGGGAGAGGAUGGUAGAAUUCCAGGUGUAGCGGUGAAAUGCGUAGAGAUCGGAAGGAACAUCUGUGGCGAAGGCGACUAUCUGGGCCAACACUGACACUGAGGCACGAAAGCGUGGGGAGCAAACAGGAUUAGAUACCCGCGUAGUCCCUGUCUCUUAUAC